GCUGGGCGUGGCGGUGCGUGCCUGUAAUCCCAGCUACUCGGGAGGCUGAGGCAGGAGAAUCACUUGAACCUGGGAGGUGGAGUUUGCGGUGAGCCAAAAUUUUGCCACUGCACUCCAGCCUGGGCCACAGAGUGAGACUCUGUCUCAA
This 148-nucleotide non-coding RNA is filed under the name Nomascus leucogenys (northern white-cheeked gibbon). The record is from Rfam by way of RNAcentral. Lineage: Eukaryota; Metazoa; Chordata; Mammalia; Primates; Hylobatidae.